Molecule: ribosomal RNA, 497 nt
Filed under: uncultured bacterium
Lineage: Bacteria
Description: partial 16S ribosomal RNA
Rfam family: Bacterial small subunit ribosomal RNA
Source: RNAcentral
GAUGAACGCUGGCGGCGUGCCUAAUACAUGCCAGUCGAGCGAACGGACGAGAAGCUUGCUUCUCUGAUGUUAGCGGCGGACGGGUGAGUAACACGUGGAUAACCUACCUAUAAGACUGGGAUAACUUCGGGAAACCGGAGCUAAUACCGGAUAAUAUUUUGAACCGCAUGGUUCAAAAGUGAAAGACGGUCUUACUGUCACUUAUAGAUGGAUCCGCGCUGCAUUAGCUAGUUGGUAAGGUAACGGCUUACCAAGGCAACGAUGCAUAGCCGACCUGAGAGGGUGAUCGGCCACACUGGAACUGAGACACGGUCCAGACUCCUACGGGAGGCAGCAGUAGGGAAUCUUCCGCAAUGGGCGAAAGCCUGACGGAGCAACGCCGCGUGAGUGAUGAAGGUCUUCGGAUCGUAAAACUCUGUUAUUAGGGAAGAACAUAUGUGUAAGUAACUGUGCACAUCUUGACGGUACCUAAUCAGAAAGCCACGGCUAACUACGUG